RNAcentral lists this ribosomal RNA (761 nucleotides) under Prevotella melaninogenica. RNAcentral describes it as "bacterial SSU rRNA". It matches the Rfam family "Bacterial small subunit ribosomal RNA", at positions 28 to 776 of the family's 1533-position model. Lineage: Bacteria; Pseudomonadati; Bacteroidota; Bacteroidia; Bacteroidales; Prevotellaceae. The record is from RNAcentral.
GAUGAACGCUAGCUACAGGCUUAACACAUGCAAGUCGAGGGGAAACGGCAUUGAGUGCUUGCACUCUUUGGACGUCGACCGGCGCACGGGUGAGUAACGCGUAUCCAACCUCCCCAUUACUGUGGGAUAACCUGCCGAAAGGCAGACUAAUACCGCAUAGUCUUCGAUGACGGCAUCAGAUUUGAAGUAAAGAUUUAUCGGUAAUGGAUGGGGAUGCGUCUGAUUAGCUUGUUGGCGGGGUAACGGCCCACCAAGGCUACGAUCAGUAGGGGUUCUGAGAGGAAGGUCCCCCACAUUGGAACUGAGACACGGUCCAAACUCCUACGGGAGGCAGCAGUGAGGAAUAUUGGUCAAUGGACGGAAGUCUGAACCAGCCAAGUAGCGUGCAGGAUGACGGCCCUAUGGGUUGUAAACUGCUUUUGUAUGGGGAUAAAGUUAGGGACGUGUCCCUAUUUGCAGGUACCAUACGAAUAAGGACCGGCUAAUUCCGUGCCAGCAGCCGCGGUAAUACGGAAGGUCCAGGCGUUAUCCGGAUUUAUUGGGUUUAAAGGGAGCGUAGGCUGGAGAUUAAGUGUGUUGUGAAAUGUAGACGCUCAACGUCUGACUUGCAGCGCAUACUGGUUUCCUUGAGUACGCACAACGUUGGCGGAAUUCGUCGUGUAGCGGUGAAAUGCUUAGAUAUGACGAAGAACUCCGAUUGCGAAGGCAGCUGACGGGAGCGCAACUGACGCUUAAGCUCGAAGGUGCGGGUAUCAAACAGG